This is a long non-coding RNA of Benincasa hispida (wax gourd), 399 nucleotides long. RefSeq lists it as uncharacterized. NCBI's taxonomy places the organism in Eukaryota, Viridiplantae, Streptophyta, Magnoliopsida, Cucurbitales, Cucurbitaceae. The record is from RefSeq and is a predicted model, not a curated record.
AGACAUCUUUAGGCUAGGUUCUUAUUUUUCUCCCUAACCUCCUUGAUGUUCUGUGUAGAUUUGAGAGCAUAGAACAUAAAUCGAAGCAUGCAUGAUAGGAAAAGAUUGAGGAGAAGAAGAUCUACAUAAUGGUUUAAGUGGUUCGGCCAUAAAGACCUACAUCCACGGUUAAAGGAAAAAAAUAGGUUAAAAGUUGGAAGCAGGGUUUGAUUGAAGGAAGAUUUUGGAGAUUGGAAUCUUGAGGGUGGUUAUUGCUCAGGCUUCGUUAGGGAAUUGAAUUCAAAGAUUGAUUAUUGAAGACUGCCGCUUGGAUCGAUAUCUGAAUCUAGUAUCGAAGUAAAGGUAGAGAUGCACCGACGAAUGACAAGCGGAAUCCGUGAUCGAGCCAUUGGGAACAGU